GGCGGAGCGAGGAGGAGGGCGGGGCGGGGCGUGACCCGGAAGCCGACGGCGGGUUCCGCCCCUCGCUCGUGGGGAGGCCGGAUAGGAACGGCCCACGGAGCUACCACCGCCCUUCGCGCCCUCCUCGCCGACAUCAUGCUCCAGUUCCUGCUUGGAUUUACUUUCGGCAACCUGGUUGGAAUGUAUCUGGCUCAGAAUUACAACAUACCAAACCUGGCUAAAAAACUUGAAGAAGUUAAAAAGGACUUGGAUACCAAGAAGAAACCCCCUAGUUCCUGAUGCCAGCUCCAGCACUGCGUCCAGGAUCCGCUGAUUCUACUCUUCUCGAGGGCCUCCUUUACCACCUGAACCAAAAGCUUUUGUCUUACCUUCCAGUCUCUGCUAGACCCUGCGUUGCCUUACAGCACAAAUGGGGCCACCAGUUAAGAACUACCCUUACUUUUCUAACAUCCUCUCCUCUUCCUCCUUCCAGCUGCUUGGGAGGUCCUGAGGCUGGAAUUACGGUGCUAGAUUAGUAAACAUGACCUUUAAUUAGCAGUCUCUCCCUUAUUCUUUGGGAUAUCUCCUGCUUUUUUUCGAAAGAAAAACCGAUGAGUUUUAUAUAGCCGAUCAGAUACAAAUAAUGCUGAUUUCGCAGUUUAGCAAUUAUAACAGGUGUUUAAACAUUUGGUACUAAAUUAUGAUGUUUCAAGGUAAUUAAAACUGAAAUCUAGAAGCCAGUUUCUGGUGAAUUAUCCAUUUAUUUUAUACUGUUGUCAGUAUAACUGACAUAACUUCACAGUAAAUCAAUUUGCUACUCAUUAACUGAGAAAUUAUAUCGAGAACCCCGUCAAGAACUGGGGAAUUAAGAAAUAUGUAAAAUAAUGGCCUCUGUCCUCAGAAUUCAUAAUCUAAUAUGUACAGUUUUCCUUAAUGAUGUAUUUGAUUUGGCUCUUUUCCCUCAAAAGAAUCAUACUUAUGUUAAGGAAUUACAGGUGUACUUGACAUUACAUGAUAGAUAAGUGACAAGUUGUCUACAAAGGAAAUUUUAUACCUUUUCACAUUAAAAAAUUAUUUAGAUUAUAACUUUAGUGAUUCUCAUAAGAAAAUUUUUGGGGUUUUUUUUCUGCAAUCAGAAAUUACCAUUGUAAUUUGUCAAAUGUAUAAUCAGUCCAUUUUUUACAAUUAAACAAAAAUGUUUGAAAACAUCACUUUUCCCCAUGAGUCAAGGUAAGAGAGUGAUUUAGAAUGAAGGGCCUCUCCCACCCCUAACUCCUAGUUUCUCUUCCUGGGGGCAGGCAACUGUCACCAUUUUACUUGAGAAAGAUUCUGUGCAUAAACAAAUAUGUGGGCAGGGUUUUUUUUUUUUUUUUUAUACAAGUGAUAACGUAUACAUAGACCCUGCCCCAGUCUUUUUUUCUUUAAUGGAGAUCAUUCCAUAUAAGUAUGUAAGGAGCAAAGGACAUCUUUCCUUUUUUGGCUGCAUAAAAUUCUAUCUACUGAAGAUGCCAUAAUUUAUUUAAUCUAUUACUCAUGAGUGUCAGGUUGUGUCCUGUCUCGUGCUGUUUUAUCCUGGUGUGCGAGACAUUAGAAUCGUAUUGUAAUUUGGCUUCACCUUAGAGGUGUGAUCAUGGGCAAAUGGCUUGUUUUUCUGAAACUUGUAUUCUCUGUAAGAUCGGACGCAAUACCUACCUCAUAGGGCUUCCAUGAGAAAUACCUGACAAUGUAUGUGAUGUGUUGCAUGGCACUUUGCAGAUUUGCCCAAUAAAUAGUAGCCCUUAGUCCAAACAUGCUGCUUUUGGUCAGAAUACUUUUGUUUCUCUGCAGUCAUUUUUGGAACUAGUUUAUGAACCAUGCAAAAUUUGUCAUCAUUUUGUAGUCACUCUCUUGGUUGUUGAUGAAAAGCUGCAGUAUCCGCUUUGAUCAUACCACCUCGCUCACGAGAUUUGAUCUUAAAUGACUGAAUUGUUACUAGGAUGAACUACAGCCUCGAAGGAUAAAGGUUUAUCACCCAUGGUGGCAUUCAGAAUGCGACAAGCUUAGUGUUCCUCUUUAUCCGUUGUGAUACUGUUAUUUGUGUGUAUGGUCUCCCAGAGUGGCUUCUUUGGAGGUGAAGGUCACUUAGAUAUUAGGAGAUCAGAUCUUUUUAUAUUAUUUAUACCUUAUGGACAGAGUUCAUUUGGACUCAGGAGUGACACUUAACCUCAAUGAUAGGCUCAUUUCUACCAGUGGGAGCCAUCCAGGGAACCAGUUCUCGUGUUCACCUUCCCCAGCUAAACUGCCGCACAGUGGACACAAGCUGACUUAGUGGGCACUGUUCAGACACCCUCUCCUUGUCUUAGGUUCUUAUAGCAGUGAAAAGGGGCUCAGAGUUCUCAGGCAGGAUUAUCUCCACUGAGAUAUAGAAGGAACCCAGACCAGCACAGAUUUUAGGGUGAGUAGUGUGGGGGGUUGCAUGCAGCAACUGUCACCUUGGCACUGAGUUAUGUUCUCUGUGUGUUCUUUAGGGACCCUUGCCUUAUAAAACCAGUGGAGGGAUGGGAAGAGCCACCAUGAGACAUGCCUUCUUUUUCCUUUAAGAAACAUUUGAAAACUGUUGAUGUGAUUUAAGCAAACUUAUCACCACAUCUGACCAAGAGAAAGGUUACUCAGAAUACCACCGAAGGUUACUCACACAUGAAAAAUUAACUUCAGGGUGGAUGCUGGGAACCUAAUGAAUACAUUGAACUUGAAAAGCUUAUCCUUAAACCUCCCAAAGGGAGAGAAAAACCAAAACCACCUUAUUUAAAAUCAUCAAAAGGGGCUGGAUUUGAUGUUAUUUUAUGUAUUUUAGUUCCCAAUUGAAGUCUUUAGGUUUUUUCUUCUGAUUUGGUGUUUUAUGUGAAUAAGGAGUUACGUGCUUUUGAUUUAAAGGGACAGCUUUAUUUCUUUUUAUCUAACUCAUUUAAUUUUCAUUUGUGUGACUAUAGAUAAAGUGACGACGUGUGGGUUUUCCAGGUGUCUGCGUUCUGGUCCGUGGAGCAUAGAUUCACACGCACAGUGUUUUCAUUGCCACUAAGCAGUUUGCUCCCUAGACGCUGUGCGGUGUGUGUUUUUCUGCUGAGGCCUCCCGCAUUUUAACGCUUUUUCUGUUACUCCUCCUGAAGGAACACUAUAUACUGUCCUGGAGCAAAUGAAGCUUUUCUUAAACUCCCCGUCUUGGACUUUGCACAUAACAUUUCCAUUCCUUACACAGAUGAAUGAGUUCUUUUUUCCCUACUGACUGUUAGGGCCUUGUGGAAAGGAACAGGGUGGUGAAGGGAAAAUAUUUUGAGAUGUCGCCUGGUCUUAAGAGGGGAGUUUGUGACACAGAUUUUCAAAUGUUCAGUGUAUAACUUUCCUAAAUCUGGCUGCAACGUAUUUUUUCACAAACCGAAGACCUAAUGGACUGCCUGGUUUGUGAGGUACUGGGAAACAGAACAAACAGAAGUGCUUGGGGUUGGCACCGCAGACCCCGAGUCCUGGGCCUGCCUGAACCAUUGCCUCUGCGGUCAGUAAGGCCUUCCGAAGAUGCGUCAUCCACCGUACAAUUGCACAGGAUUGGGACAAGAAAAAUGUGCCACGUAAAUAGUGCAGGCCGUUGUGCUGCAUCCAUUCCCUGAGGGCAGCCCUAGGGAGAGCUGCCUGUGGACUCAGGUGGCCUCUGUUUCCUUUGUGAGCUAGUGGUGUGGACAUCUUUCCAUACCGAGAGUGGUACUAGUGUUUAGAUAAACUUCCUCAAUCAUGGGCCCUAAACCUGAAGCCAACUACUUUAUUUGGUGUCCGACUGGAAAAAAAAAACAAAACACAUCUAGUCUGACACUGAAGGGAAAACUAGCACUUUUUAUUGCAAGGUGGCACAUGAGUCUUUAUGCCGUGUAAAUGCUAUUGUAAAAGGUAUGCACCAUGCGCUUCGCGGGUGACUUAAAGGAACUUCAAAGGCAACUUCGACUAAGCAAAUUUGAUUGAUAAUUGAGAAAAAGACGCAAUUAUACUUAGUGUCUUUGCUUCUCAGUGUCAUCAUCUGUCAGAUGACCUCGUAUAAGAUGAUCAUUUACAGCUUUUGCAUCCAUAUAGUGCUAGAAGGUAAAAGUCAUAAUCUAUUUGCAGGAGGCAUAAGACUACAAAGGGGAGCUGGUAUUGUCCUGCAUGGAGUGGUUUUGGAUGACAAGGGGUUGUUAGUCAUGUCUGAUGUUUCCUGUCACUGCUAUGAGCAGUCUUUUUGGCCUGGGUCUCUGGUUUGGGGAGAGGACAGUGCUGUUCUUUAGAACGGCCGCUAGCCCAGACCGCAGUGAGCGCGCUCUCCGAGUUGGCUGCUGGGGUGCAUCCAGGGAGCAGGGAGCUGCACUGCCUUCCCUUUGGGGUCCACUCAGGUUCUCGAAUAGCUAGACAGUGGCCAGUCACUCUAAGUCAGCUCAAUUCCAAGUCAGCGUUCCUUUUUCUUCAUUUGUUUAUACUCCCGAGGUCAUAACAAUGAUCUGCGCCUUUGUCUCAUCCUCCGACUGAGGGGCUCAGUGUCUCUGUAACGGGUCAGCAUCUGACGAUUUGGCUGCCCUGACAAUGGGAGUAACACUGUGACUUUCUGAACAUUUCAGAGCAAAAUAACUGUAGAGAUGCUGGCUCCGAUCAAACCAGCUAUUUUGUAUCUAAUACUGAUAGUUUAUUUGGGCUCUUUAGUUCAUCACUUUUAUAAGUGGCCAAAUAAUUUGACCUAAGGUAAUUGACAGGGCAGAAGCAUUAAUUUUCAUGGUUAAACCUGGUCAGUCAUGCUGCGGUCAGAGUGUUGACCGUCACAAAAGGAAUUUACAAUUUACAGAUACUUGAUAAACUAAGGGAGUGACUUCAUUGAUAAAUUAUUGUGAGAAGACAGACAGCACAUACUAACAGUAGUAACUUGAAAUCAGUUAAAAACAAUAACUGCGGGAUAUUCUUUUCCCAUAAGCACGUAACUUGUGGAAAUCAGAAUUCUGUAAUGCCAGGAAACGGCAGGAGUUGGGAGCUAUAGUCAGUCAUAUAGAAAAGACAUCUGUAGAGAAAAUGGCAUGGUUUUCAGGAGGAAAAAGGAGGCCUUGAUUUCCAAAGUGAUUUUUCUCAAGGGAAACAUUUAUUGAGCAGUUACAGUUUACUAUAUUGUAUAAGUUGCUGGAGACUUUGAGGGAUAUAAGACAUCUCCUGUCCCCUCAAGGGGCUCUUCUACUUGUAGCAAGAGACUGAUGUGUUUAGACCUUUCUGUACUUGUCUUCUCAGGGACAAACUACUCAUUACAUCCAGAAGAAAGCCAGUCAAAUAUCACUAAUUGCGCUGUGGCCUUAAUUAUAGCUUUGGCCUCCUUAAUAAGAUAGGCAUGAAAUUUUUUCUUUCUCCCAGCACUUAACCGACACCAUGGUAUUGAUGGCUCAUGAUGAGUGUAGAGAGAGAUGCUAAUCGCAACGUCUUCUUUCUCUACUUCCUUUUCCUCUGACAGAGAGAACAGCACCAGCCUUUCCAAAAGGGGAACACCUAUUUCUUUAUAGGAAUUUGGUGCCAAGGUAAAGAGAAGCCACUGAAGAGAAAUACUUAAAAGGGAAUCCAAGUAGCGAUAAAAGAGAACUGAUUGCCACAAACUGCCUUUUCGUGGGGAGAACUUAGGAUAGAAACACUUAAGAGAAAGGAGCUAAUGUGAGGUCUCAAGUUCUGGGUAAGAUUUUCCUCCCAAAGAGAAGAUACCACUGGUUUCACUGUCUGUGCAUAGGUAGGAUAAGUUGGCUUUCUCCUUCAACUCCUAAAAAGGGAUUAAAAAAUUGAGAAUGACAUCAAACCUAGUGAGGCUGGGAGGUUUGUGCGGCUUAGCCUGUGAAGGGCAACCGAGACAAAUUUUCUUCUCUUCCUGUCUUCAGAAGACAGGAGAGACUAGGUAGAAGGAAGUGAGAAAGCGUUAGGUUUUCUUGAGAUAUGGCGCUAAGGAAGGGGGGCCAAGCCUGUGUUUGGUUGUCGGAAGCCUCCCGCACCUCACUUGAGGUGGUAGAUAGCGGAUCUUCUGCUGGGGUUCGGUGCUCCUGUUGGUUUUCCUGGCCCAUAGGUCAGGUUCUGCUGGGCGCUGGCAGCUCCUUUGGUUGGCCGUUUGCCCACUGUGUUAGGCCUGGUCGGUGAUGUUACUGACCUUAGCCCAGGCUGGGAAAGUGUCCAAGUGGAAGAGGCUAACUCCCCAUGUAUUGAUGGCCACCAUCACUAUCACCAGGCCAAUAAUAUUGACCCCCAGGCCAGCUUUCACCUGCAGGACACAAACCAGCACAGCCUAGUCACUCAGGAGGCAGUAGCGCAGAUCCCAGAGCACUCCCCACCAAGUCCCCGCUCCCCCAAGCCUUGCGGUGAUGUGAUCACAGCCCACCUGCUUGGCCCUGAUUUGUUCCGGUCUCUGCCUGGAGUGUUCUCAUGCUGCCUAGGGUGGCACAGGACUGUGGAAGGGCAGGGAGGACUUGGGGUUGCAGCGGGCCCUUAAAAUCCUCUCUACUCAAAGCACCCCCACUUACUGCAGAGGCCUAGUAGGUAUGGCCUCAGGGCACCAGAGAUGUGAAUAAGUCACACUGAAGAAGGAUCCUGCAUAGGGAAGCGCAGUUGAGCAAAAUGACCUGGGUCUCUAAGGCAGGGCCUUCUCAGUGCCUUUAGUGUGCUGACACAUAAGGGACUCGCGGGAGGGGCUGUAGUCUGAAGCCUUUGCCACCAUACCCCCUCCCCCUUUUUUUUCCCUUCAAGAAACAGCUCAUGGAAGUCGUGUGUCUUGGGUUUGUCUGGGGAAAUAGGUCAGCUGCCUCUGCUCAGCCCUUGCCUGGGAAGGUGACACAGGCAUGCUAGCUUUGCUGCUUUAUUCUGAGGGAAUGUCACCUCAUUGAGUCUGACCCCUUCCAUUUCUGGCUCGGCAUGGACACUCUCAGGUGGCAGGGGAGGGACGUGAGGGAUGAUGGCAGAGCCAGGUGGGAAAAUGUACCGCGAGGAUAGCUGGCACCGUGCUAGGGUGCACCCAAGCAUAGUGUGUGGAGCCGGGACGAGUUCACUGCUGGCAUUAAGCUGGGAACGUUGCAAGGGAAAAAUGAAUGCUAGGAAAUUGUUCCAAGCAGAUGACUAGGCGUGUCCCCUCUCUGCUUUGUGGCCUACGCCCAGGACCUGUUAACCACCUGGCCCCGGGCCUUUUGGCAUGGAGAAGCACCCGUGUCCCCUAGCAGGCGAGAGGUGGCAGCUUCUAAAAGAGCUGAAAGGGACCAUGUAGAGCACUUAGUCGGAUCCUCCUCAUUUAGCAGGUAAGGAAAUUGAGAUCUCAAGUCAGGCCCAAGCUGGGGGUAGAACCCAGGACUGGCUCACUUCUUGUCAUCUGGUGCCUUUGCAAAUUACCACCUCGAUCGUUUGCUUCCAGGGUAGGAGGCUGGGGGUGAAUGGUGGGGGCACAGAGAGGAUGCGGGGGGACAGGAGAAUUGGAGCAGGGCUCAAUAUGACCGAGAGUUGUUCAGUAAGUAGAGGGGAGGGGUGGCCCUGAAGAAUUACAGAUGACCUAGGAGGACAGUUUGAACAGUAGAAAGGCUCUGACUCUACCAGCUUGUAGCUCUUUCCUCCAUGUGAUACUUAGUGGGCUGCUGAGAACGAGUUUGGACUCUAGUGAAACAGUUUUUGAGACCCUCAGCGAGGGCGAACGGGCCGAUUCAGACAGUCAGGUCCCAGUAAUUUGUAUCUUUUUUUCACCCUUCCCCAGCCCCCAUCAGCCCUGGAUAUUAAGAAGCAUAGCAGUGAGUAUAGGUUGAGGAGUGGAAGGUGGAUAUGCCCAACACGAAAAUCAGCAGCACAACGUCUCUUCGAAGCCAUCUUUUGUGAGCCCAGGUCUGUUUGCACGGUUUCUCCUACUUCACCUUUUAGGAAUCAGCCAGCAGCUUUUUGAAUGAAUGUCCCCACUGGUCCAGUGAGGAAACUGAAGCAAAGACUGCAAGCUCAUGCCUUCUGGAACUGGGCCACGUCCUGCCUCUGUCGCAGCUUUCUCUGUCCGUGUCCCCACUUUCUCCCAGAUAAGGGUGGGGAGAGCACAUUAUUAUACUGUUCUUGAUGUUUAUGGACCACCCCAAACCUUUUAACUAGUACCAUUCUUUCUGCCACACUAGAUUGAGUGCUGACAAGUCCAGGGACAACCGCUACAAAAUAAUAAACUUUAGGAGAAGGCUGUGGAGCCAGUCGCCCUGUCCUCCUGGCAGCUGGGCCUGGUGGAAAGAGGGCGCCUGUGACUCACCAUGUCUUUGAUCUGGCAGUGCCCGUAACUGAAGACGAUGGCGUUGGGGGGAUUGCCCACGGGCAGCAUCACUGCAAAGGAGAUGCACAUGGUGACUGGGAUCAGGGUGUAGAGUGGGUUAAUGUGCAGCGUUUCGGACUAGAAGAGAGAAUCCACAGAAACAGUGUUGACGUUAGACUUGUUUCCUGUCUUUACUAUCACAAACGUGCUUUAAACGAUGGCUGGGUGUUGGCUAACCUUGGCUGGACGCCUCAUGCUAGGGACAGAUAAAGCACUGCCCUCAAGGGCGUCAGUGCUGGCCAGGCCAGAUGCACCCCCGUGCUACCCACUCCCAUGGAAACGUGGGCUCGGAGUUACGCCUCAGAGGCUUGUUUUAUCUUCAUUUCUAAGGAAGUGCUCUUUAAAUUUUAUUCCUUCGCUGAGAAAUUUUUUCUUCAAACACAGAUCUCAUGAAUGAGCUGCUUUGAUUGCAGUAGAGAUCUGUCAUUCUUGGGGUACAGAACUAAUGGGCUUUUCUUUUUCUAGGUAAAGUACCUGUUAUAUGGAUUCCAUGGGUUCGAACCCAGGGGCUGGCCCUCGAUGUUGCCCAGUUUUAACUGAGUGUGCUCCAUGCUCACACUAACGAGAUGAUGGGAAGAAGGGCUCAGAGGGAGGCAUCCGAACAGCGAGUGGAGAGAGUGGCUGGGGAGUUUGGGGCUAGAAAGAGCAGGAGCAUGUCGUUUUGGUGGAGACAGGGAAGAGCCUUCGUUUCGUAGGUUCCACCUCACAGAAUGGUCGGACGCAGCGUGGUGUCCGGGGCCUUACCUCUGGGGCUGCUUAGCCAGGCUCAGAUCUGGCAGCCGCUUCCCUCCCCUAUUCCAUCACUAACACUGUUCUGAGGUCGCGGAAUGAGGCUGGCCUUGCUCCCCAUUCUCAGAACCUUCUGGACGUCGAAAUUGGGUGGAGGUGAUAGUAGUUAGAGCUGAGGUCUUGGCCACUGAGGCUGAAUCUGCUUCUUCCUGGGAGCAUUUUGCCUUCAUUUUCUAUCAUUAUUUCUCUGGCCUUUAUCUCAGGAGUGCAAGGCCGAUGAUGAUUGUGGGGAACCGGACUCCUAGGGUUUUAAGGUUAUUUUCUUCAUUCUUGUUUCCUUGCAGGGCUGCCUCUAAACGCCUUUUUAGGGAAAGGUUUUCUAGAACCCUUGCUGUGGCUUCUUUAUCUGUUUAUUUACCAGUCGCUAUUUGAAAAACUUAAUUUUUUCAAACUAUGGAUUGAACACCAGUUUGCCGUGAAAAUGACGAGGGGAGAGUAGAGCCGCAGCCGCUGCUCCCCACCACAGCAGACCCCUGGGGCAGCCCGUCUGGACGUCGGGAGCCUGCUCUACUCACCAGGCUGCACAGGAUGGGCAGGAAGAUGGUGAUGGUGGCCGGGUUGCUCACAAACUCUGUGACAAUGGACACCAGGAUGCAUGCCAGCAGGGUGACAGCCCACGGCGGCAGGCUGCUCAGGGACAACAUCUGGUGCCCAAUCCAGGUGGAGAGGCCAGAGCUCUGCAGACCAGGGGGAAACAGUGAGAAGAAAGGAGGAGAAGCACGUUCCCAGUGGAACUCUGAGAGCCAGCAGGUCAGGGGCGCCUGGGAGGAACCCCAGGAGCCGUCUAAAUGUCUCCCUAUUUCCUGGUGGACGCAGCCCAGCGGCAUGCUUGAUUUUUGUGAUGAGAUCAUUUUUCUAGCCCAGAAAAUUGUUUUUUAUGAUUGUACAACAUUCAGUCUCAGGGUUUCCUGGUCAGUCGCUGUCACGGGGAAUGGCGACCUACCUACCCUAAUGGCCACGGGCCUUCCUAGCACUGCUGUGACAGCUCAGCAGGGGUUAAAGAUCUUUGGGGUGGUCAGCUCCUCAACUUCAUUCUCUACUCCUACAGCCUCUGACACACUCUUUAUGCAUCCGAUCAACAGUGCCCUAUACACAGGCUGCCAAGUGUAAUCCUUAACUCUGCUUUUAAAAUCCAUUUCUUUUAUCGCCUGAGAGAGGGGAAAAAACGUUCAACAUCUUAGGAUAGUAACCUUUCCUGUUUUUCAGUGAGCAGGACUGAACAUGAGAAAUUUUGCAUGAGGAAUGAAGGAGAGGGGAUUAUACAUCUGUUUCUAGCCAGUGGGGAAGGUGCCUCCUCUCUGCCCUAGAAGACAGUCAUUCACCGCAUUUCAGGUUCGCAUCCCAUCAGGGCCGACAUCAGGGCUGCGACCUGCCAGUGCUUUUUGAUGACACGACAUAUGAAGGCGUAUUGCCACUCUUAAACAUUUUCCAUUAGCGACAUUUAUACGCAUCUACGCCAAUGAAUGAAUAUUCCCACUUAAAAUAAUUCAUUGGGUUGGAAGCUGUUCAUCUGCCAAUAGCGAGGGUUCUCCCCCUCCCCUAAAAAAUCAAAGUCACCAUUUAGUUUUUGUACUACAAAUUCCCAGGUUGCCAUAUGCAACCUCCUUCCUUCCCUCGCUCCUUCCUUCAUCUCUCUUCCAUAGUCGACAUGCUCUGAUUUUCUUCUCUACCGUAGAGACUGCAAAUGCAAUAAAGGGAUGAGGAGCAGGACAUGAAGCGAGGUGAGACAGUUUAUGAUUCCUCAGGCUGUCAGUCCUGUUCACGCUUUAUUAUGAAAGACAGCCUCGCCACUUCGUCAGCAGCUACUUUUUCUCCAAAUUCCUCAAAAGCUCAUCUGAUCACAGCACCUUGGCCACCUCGUGACAACCUCAUAGGCAACUGAUGGCCAAGGGCCUUCAGAAUUCUCUCUGCCGUAGCCACUUUUACCUUCAAGCACUUUUUUUUUUCCCAACUAACUGAGAGUUGCAAAUCCAAUAUGUGGAGACUACAUCCCUUAAUGGUUGGUACAGAGCCUUGAGGCCUACAGGAGCUCUGUAAUUGUUAUCUCUUGUAACACAUUAAACCGUGGUCCCCGGACAAAGACGGGGGAGGGAAAGCUGUUAGCUGAGUGGAAAUAUUACAUUUUUGAAAGAAAUGGAGUUCUAUUAUCAUGUUACCCAAAUAGCACUUGUAAGUAAAGUGAAAUAAUUUAAUGGCAAUAAUUUUCCAGAAGAACUAUUUUAUACUAUAAUUUGAGGUAAAUUGAUAAAUUAGACUGCAAAGUUAGAAAAAGAACACAAAAAAGGAAGUCUUACUUUUUUAAACACUUGGUGUAGAAACAUUUUACGCUGGAUUUUCCUCACUGCUGUCAAGACUGAAAUUAUUUCAUACCCAGUGGGAAUCACAUAUAUCGUACCUGAAUUAUAUUAUUAGAAUUAGUACAGCAAGGGUCCUGCAGAAAUAUCAACUGUACUAUCUGCCAUACAUGCACCAUUUUGGUUUAAAAGAAAAAAAUCUUGCCAGGCUAGGCUUAGAGGCCAAAACUAACAACUGAAAUUCAAUAAAGGUAAAUAUAAUAUCUUGAACUUGGAAUUAGAAAGAUUGACAGCACAUAUUCAGGACUGGUUGAAGGUCUUGAGGCUUAAUAGUGACUAACAAUUAAAAGAAUGAAGGGUUUUAGUUGCCUGCAGUUGCAUCAUAAAUGUUGACAUGAGUACCAGUGAAGCCUUGAAAAGCUUCCAUAAAAAUCCAAGAUGGAGCUUGGAUCAGAGAGGAGAGAUGGGGCUUGGGUAAUUUAACUGAUCUACUCUGACCACCUCUGGACCAUGUGUGAAUAAGGCCAAGGGCAAGUAGUGAGUCCUGAGGGGAGAACCAGCGUGGUAAGGGGACACUGCUUCUGUGAGGAAUGGCUAAAGGGACUAAGGAGUUUCGGUCAGGAAAAAAAUCUAAGGGGAUUAAUAACUUUUUAAAUUUUAAUAAUUAUUACCUAGGAGAGUUUUCCAGAGAAUAGGGGCAGAACUGUCAGUGGAAGACACAGAAGACCUGAGCUAAGAGUAGGGAACAACUAUUCUUUGUUCCUCGCUCAAGGAGUGUCCUGUCACUGGAGGCGUUCGAGCCAGGGUUGUCACAUUGGGUAGAAGAUGAGACUUGAUGUCCUCCAAGGUUCCUUCCAAGUGUAGAACUGUGACAUCAUUAACAAUGCAGAUACGUCAACCCACAGUGAAUGGGUAGUCAGCAGUGAGCCAAGGUUGGAAUGGGUUAAUGCAUACAGAGUGGACGGAGAAACAGUGUGAGCCUUAACCUGAUUCGUUCUUAAGAUCCUUUUCUACUGCAGAAAGGGUUAGCCUUUCGGGAAGUUGAACUAUUUCCCACUAGCUCCCUUUAAAAGAUCUCAUGCCAGAUUCUCCCAAUCAAGAAAUCAGGGCGCACUUCCAUCAGCUAUAAUGCAGAUUCUCCAAAGGGGCUCAGGACGUGCACAUGGACUGACUGAGGGACAAUUUGUUGUGUGUCACUUGGGGCAUCUCUGGGCCCUGACAGGCACAUCUAUCACAGGCAAAUCCAUAGAUGGAGAUGGCUACAAAAUCCAAAUAACCUAGUUUUUGGCAGCGUGGGCCCGUCAGUGAGGUGUGAAUGCCGUAUGCCAUGACUAUUGCACAGUUGAUCUGUAACUCGGUCUCAGUAGCACCAGCUUGGGUGCUCGGGGAGGACAGGAUGUCUGUUCCUGGCUGACUGCUCCCCUUCCCAGUGACUUCGGUGGACACUCCCCUCUCCUUCAGCUCCUUCGAAUCUUCCUGCUCAGAACCGUAAUGAUUCCACUAGGUAAAGUAGCUGGAAAACUAUUUGGCCCAAUGAGAACAGAAUUCAAGGGUUACCUUGCUGCCCGAAGCCAGAGCAUAGCCUCCUCCCACCAGAAUGACAAUCUCCCAGGGCAUGGUCUUCUGGAAGUCCUUCCACGUGAUGAUGGGCUCCGUCCCCGGCGAGGGCUUCCGGUCCUCCCCUGGGUCACAGGUAGACAGGGAGGUAGAGCCAGAUGAACCAUAAUGGGAGUGAUCUGUAGAGUAGGGGCUGAGCUGCUAUUUGGGGCAGAAUCAGAGGGCCUUGGUCAGGUGCCUUCUGAAAAUUCUGACUCGGGUAUCACGUGACUAGAGCCAGCCCCAGCAUCUCCCCUUGAACCCCUCUCACCAUCCUUCUUUUUCCUAAAGCAAGGCUUCUUCGCUGGAAUCAGGAAGAGGAGGAAGCCGAGGAAGACGGAGACGGUGGCAUCGGUGCGGUAGCCUUUCCUAGCAAGAGAGAAGCAGGCUGGAGGAGGGGGGCAGGAGGCCCCAGGGUAGCGCUGCGUCUCGGCAUGGUCUGAACCCGAGGCCUGCCUGUAGGACCUAGUCGAGAUGGGGCAUCAGUCUGCGCCUUGCCCGUUUUGCCAUGCCAUCCAGUGGUGGAUUUAAUGGGCAAUGGUUAUAGUCCAAAGGCGGGGCCUGGCUAGGGAAAAUGACUUGGUGUGAAUUUAUGGGCCCAUCGACUGGGAUGAGUCCCAGGAGGAGUGAUGAGGAGUUGGCUUAGGUGAAGGAGACUGGAAAAGGGUGGGUCCUCUUUCCUGCGAGGUUCACACCUCCACGUGUGUCUUUUCUCAGACUAGAAGCUGUGCUGGCAGAGCCAGAGGCCUGUGGCCCUGGCCCUCAGGGGAAGAUGUGGGGGAGGGGUGUGGCCGGAGCCAUGUUUGCCUCUUCCCCCACAGGCCUCAGCCACUGCAUGGCCAUGGUCUCUCUACAGUUGAUAUUUUACUUUAGGGACAUUUUCUCCUUUAACUCUCACAACAACGAGACAGCUGAGGUCACAAGAUCUUAAGUGACAAGACCAAGGUCACACAGCUGCAUAAGUGGUAGCGCUGGAUCCCAACCCCUGACCUGGACUCCGAAGACUGUAUUUUCUUCUUGACUGUAUCCUGCAGCUUCCUGAAAAAGAGGAGGCUUCCACAGGAACAAAGUGAUGUCCUGGCUUCAUGUCUGUCCCUGACAGUCUAGGAGGGGACACCAUUGAAAACUGCCGGAGACGUUUCCAGGACGAGGUGGUUUGUUCUUGAGGAGGAGACGAUAUCACUUACUUUUCAAAGAACGAGUCCCAGCCGGGAACGAAGCCAGGCUCCCGCGUGAACCACAGCACCGUCAUCAGGAUGAAGAAAAAUCCGGUCACCAUUUCAGGGUAGCUAUAAAAUAAAACAGACCUGCUCCA
Molecule: long non-coding RNA, 14296 nt
Organism: Pteropus alecto (black flying fox)
Lineage: Eukaryota; Metazoa; Chordata; Mammalia; Chiroptera; Pteropodidae
Exons: 4
Source: RefSeq, a predicted model, not a curated record